CUGCUUUCCUGCCUCAACAGCCAUUGGGAACAGAUACUUUUCAAAGUUUAAGGUUAGAACAAUCUGCAAUAACCAUGUUUAAAUCCAACUGGGAGACAUUGGGAACAAGAGGCUUUGGAACUGAAACACAUUAUCGCACUUGAAAGAGAGGGGCUUCUGGUGUCUCCUGAGGCAGGUGGGUUGUGAGGCCACACUUGUAGAAAUCCUCCUUGGACCUGGCAAGUUGUAAGAAGUGAUUACAUGGCACCAAAAAUGAAGAAGAAACAUUUUUAAAAAUCGUGUAUCUGAAAUGCUGUCAUCUAGCAAUUACUCCAUCACAGCUGCCAUAUUCUUCAUGCUUUGUUUUCAAUCAAACACUAUUUUCCAACACAUCCUAGUGACAAGCAUCGUUGAUCACACAUUGAAUAGAGACUGAAGGAGGAAAACAACCACUUACUGCCCUAAAUCCUGUUGCUUAGCACAGUCAAUUGAACUAGUGUAAGCCCAUUAAAUCAAAGGGGGAUCUGGUGA
Non-coding RNA from Pogona vitticeps (central bearded dragon), 510 nucleotides. Lineage: Eukaryota; Metazoa; Chordata; Lepidosauria; Squamata; Agamidae. The record is from RefSeq and is a predicted model, not a curated record.